Molecule: small RNA, 79 nt
Filed under: human gut metagenome
Description: GA-cis RNA
Rfam family: GA-cis RNA
Source: RNAcentral
UAGGAGGCGUCCAUGGAACGAAGUUCCAUUCAGGAUGACGACGACCUGCCGCCGAACGGAUGUGAGGGGGCGAUACCAU